AAGUCGUAACAAGGUUUCCGUAGGUGAACCUGCGGAAGGAUCAUUAACCUUUCAAAUCAGGGUGCGUCGCGGCCCCCGAGGAGCGGAAACAAUCCUUGGGAGGUUUGCGGAGUCUUCGGACCCCUUAACGCACGCACGACUGCCAUCCUUACUUUACGAGCACCUUCUGUUCUCCCUCGGCGGGGCAACCUGCCGUUGGAACCGAAUAAACUCUUUUUGCAUCUAGCAUUACCUGUUCCGAAACAAACAAUCGUUACAACUUUCAACAAUGGAUCUCUUGGCUCUG
This 286-nucleotide unclassified non-coding RNA is filed under the name Pseudopithomyces sp. Its description in RNAcentral is "partial contains small subunit ribosomal RNA, internal transcribed spacer 1, and 5.8S ribosomal RNA". The stretch from base 1 to 46 matches the Rfam family "Eukaryotic small subunit ribosomal RNA", at positions 1786 to 1831 of the family's 1831-position model. Lineage: Eukaryota; Fungi; Ascomycota; Dothideomycetes; Pleosporales; Didymosphaeriaceae. The record is from RNAcentral. RNAcentral also lists the same sequence under 1 other name.